GACGAACGCUGGCGGCGUGCCUAAUACAUGCAAGUUGAGCGCUGAAGGUUGGUACUUGUACCAACUGGAUGAGCAGCGAACGGGUGAGUAACGCGUGGGGAAUCUGCCUUUGAGCGGGGGACAACAUUUGGAAACGAAUGCUAAUACCGCAUAAAAACUUUAAACACAAGUUUUAAGUUUGAAAGAUGCAAUUGCAUCACUCAAAGAUGAUCCCGCGUUGUAUUAGCUAGUUGGUGAGGUAAAGGCUCACCAAGGCGAUGAUACAUAGCCGACCUGAGAGGGUGAUCGGCCACAUUGGGACUGAGACACGGCCCAAGCUCCUACGGGAGGCAGCAGUAGGGAAUCUUAGGCAAUGGACGAAAGUCUGACCGAGCAACGCCGCGUGAGUGAAGAAGGUUUUCGGAUCGUAAAACUCUGUUGGUAGAGAAGAACGUUGGUGAGAGUGGAAAGCUCAUCAAGUGACGGUAACUACCCAGAAAGGGACGGCUAACUACGUG
RNAcentral lists this ribosomal RNA (497 nucleotides) under uncultured bacterium. Its description in RNAcentral is "partial 16S ribosomal RNA". It matches the Rfam family "Bacterial small subunit ribosomal RNA", at positions 28 to 507 of the family's 1533-position model. The record is from RNAcentral.